UAUUUAGGUAGUGCCUCGAGUAUGAGACUGAUGGGGGUAAAGCACUGUUAUGGCUAGGGGGUUAUUGCAACUUACCAACCCAUGGCAAACUAAGAAUACCAUCAAGUUGCUCCUCGGGAGACAGACAUCGGGUGCUAACGUCCGGUGUCAAGAGGGAAACAACCCAGACCGCCAGCUAAGGUCCCAAAUGAUAGAUUAAGUGGUAAACGAAGUGGGAAGGCACAGACAGCCAGGAUGUUGGCUUAGAAGCAGCCAUCAUUUAAAGAAAGCGUAAUAGCUCACUGGUCGAGUCUUCCUGCGCGGAAGAUGUAACGGGGCUCAAAUCUAUAACCGAAGCUGCGGAUAUACUUUUGUAUAUGGUAGGGGAGCGUUCUGUAAGCCUGUGAAGGUGACUUGUAAAGGUUGCUGGAGGUAUCAGAAGUGCGAAUGUUGACAUGAGUAGCGAUAAAGCGGGUGAAAAGCCCGCUCGCCGAAAGCCCAAGGUUUCCUACGCAACGUUCAUCGGCGUAGGGUGAGUCGGCCCCUAAGGCGAGGCAGAAAUGCGUAGUCGAUGGGAAACAGGUUAAUAUUCCUGUACUUUGAUUCAAUGCGAUGUGGGGACGGAGAAGGUUAGGUUAGCAAACUGUUGGAAUAGUUUGUUUAAGCCAGUAGGUGGAAAGAGUAGGCAAAUCCGCUCUUUCUUAACACCGAGACGUGAUGACGAGUGUCUACGGACAUGAAGUGACCAAUACCACGCUUCCAGGAAAAGCCACUAAGCUUCAGUUGAAUCAGAACCGUACCGCAAACCGACACAGGUGGGCAGGAUGAGAAUUCUAAGGCGCUUGAGAGAACUCGGGAGAAGGAACUCGGCAAAUUGAUACCGUAACUUCGGGAGAAGGUAUGCCCUCUAAUGUUAAGGACUUGCUCCGUAAGCAUCUGAGGGUCGCAGAGAAUCGGUGGCUGCGACUGUUUAUUAAAAACACAGCACUCUGCUAACACGAAAGUGGACGUAUAGGGUGUGACGCCUGCCCGGUGCUGGAAGGUUAAUUGAAGAUGUGCAAGCAUCGGAUCGAAGCCCCAGUAAACGGCGGCCGUAACUAUAACGGUCCUAAGGUAGCGAAAUUCCUUGUCGGGUAAGUUCCGACCCGCACGAAUGGCGUAACGAUGGCCACACUGUCUCCUCCCGAGACUCAGCGAAGUUGAAAUGGUUGUGAAGAUGCAAUCUCCCCGCUGCUAGACGGAAAGACCCCGUGAACCUUUACUGUAGCUUUGCAUUGGACUUUGAAGUCACUUGUGUAGGAUAGGUGGGAGGCUUUGAAGCAGAGACGCCAGUCUCUGUGGAGCUGUCCUUGAAAUACCACCCUGGUGACUUUGAGGUUCUAACCCAGACCCGUUAUCCGGGUCGGGGACCGUGCAUGGUAGGCAGUUUGACUGGGGCGGUCUCCUCCCAAAGAGUAACGGAGGAGUUCGAAGGUUACCUAGGUCCGGUCGGAAAUCGGACUGAUAGUGCAAUGGCAAAAGGUAGCUUAACUGCGAGACCGACAAGUCGAGCAGGUGCGAAAGCAGGACAUAGUGAUCCGGUGGUUCUGAAUGGAAGGGCCAUCGCUCAACGGAUAAAAGGUACUCCGGGGAUAACAGGCUGAUUCCGCCCAAGAGUCCAUAUCGACGGCGGAGUUUGGCACCUCGAUGUCGGCUCAUCACAUCCUGGGGCUGUAGUCGGUCCCAAGGGUAUGGCUGUUCGCCAUUUAAAGUGGUACGUGAGCUGGGUUUAAAACGUCGUGAGACAGUUUGGUCCCUAUCUGCAG
This 1784-nucleotide ribosomal RNA is filed under the name Kingella kingae. RNAcentral's name for it is "partial 23S ribosomal RNA". It matches the Rfam family "Bacterial large subunit ribosomal RNA", at positions 867 to 2647 of the family's 2925-position model. Lineage: Bacteria; Pseudomonadati; Pseudomonadota; Betaproteobacteria; Neisseriales; Neisseriaceae. The record is from RNAcentral.